GCCCUGAAUGCACGUCGCUGAGGGGAGAAGCCAGUCUGAAAAGGCUACAGACCAUGUGACUCCAACUCCAUGGCCCUCCGGAGAAGGUGGAGCCAUGGAGACCCUGAAACAGUGCUUGGCAGGAAGGAUGAACAGAACUCCCAACCGCAUCACAGCGUCGCGAAACGGCCAAGUCAAUGCACUCCGGCUCGGUGUGGGCUUGGCCGCCAGCAGUGCGGCAGGACAAUCUCUGAUCUCAAAGGACAACGUCUGCGAGUGUAAGCGGCUCGGGGCUUGAACCUGAGUCCCUCCGGGGUAGACCUUCCUUCAGAUCCCAGACCGUGAAAGCGUCCCCUCACGCCCUGUGACGCUGGGGCAGACGGACCCGCAGGCAGCGGCCACUGACCGCUGGCGUGGCUGAGCUCUGCCCCAGGAGUGCUGCCUGAGAGGAGGGGUUCCCUGGGAGGGUCCCCCACUCUCCCGCCGCCCACGUGCAUCCGCAGCAGUGACCCCCCCUUCCCUGCACCUUCAUCAGCGUCCUGCGGCCCUCUCCAAGGCCCGCCCCGGCCCGCCAGCUCCCAUGGCAGCUCCUGGGACGGCUCCAGCCAGGGACGUGCUCCCCUGGAGGAUCACCCCGGUCACUGGCCUCGUGUCGUUCACUCUCUGCCCAGGCGCUGCUCUGGGUUGGACUCCUU
Bubalus bubalis (water buffalo) is the source of this 674-nucleotide long non-coding RNA. RefSeq lists it as uncharacterized. The transcript has 2 exons. The record is from RefSeq and is a predicted model, not a curated record. Lineage: Eukaryota; Metazoa; Chordata; Mammalia; Artiodactyla; Bovidae.